UGGCGGACGGGUGAGUAAUGUCUGGGAAACUGCCUGAUGGAGGGGGAUAACUACUGGAAACGGUAGCUAAUACCGCAUAACGUCGCAAGACCAAAGAGGGGGACCUUAGGGCCUCUUGCCAUCGGAUGUGCCCAGAUGGGAUUAGCUAGUAGGUGGGGUAACGGCUCACCUAGGCGACGAUCCCUAGCUGGUCUGAGAGGAUGACCAGCCACACUGGAACCGAGACACGGUCCAG
Molecule: ribosomal RNA, 235 nt
Filed under: uncultured bacterium
Lineage: Bacteria
Description: partial 16S ribosomal RNA
Rfam family: Bacterial small subunit ribosomal RNA
Source: RNAcentral